UUGUUGAUAGAGAAAAGAAAAAAGAAAAAAAAACAGAACCAGACAGAGAGGGUCGAGGGAGAGGAGAAGAAGGAAAAGAAGGGAAGCCGAUGGAGAAAGGAAAGAAGAGGAAACAGUGGGUAACCAAGAGGAAUAAGGAAAAUUGGAGAAGAAGGCAAGCUUGAGAGAGUUCAUUCAUCCACUACCACAAAUCUCUCCUCACAUCAUUAUCAUCAUCUUCAACUUCAAUUUCCAAUUUUAAGGAUAUGAAACUUUACACGGGAACUCCUCAGGUCUGUUGCCGAAGUUCAUGCUCUACAUCAAAUAGGUAUUUUCUAUAAAGGUUAUGAUUAUGCAACUAGCAAAAUUUAUAGGGUUCUACAUUCUGUGAAAACAUAUUUGUCAUCUACAUGUCUACUACUCAUAUUGCCGUAACAAAAAUAGGCUUGACAACAAAUAUGUUAAUUUCAUAUUUGGUUUAUUCUUUCCUAUAUUUUAGCUUUUAUGAUGUAUCAUUUUUUAAAACGGUUUUUGAAGAAUUAGCAAUUGAUAGCAGAAUUGAGGUUCUUAAAUGUCUAAUAUUUUCCAGAAAUUUAACCAAUUGCUCGCCUUAAAAAAAAAUCCCAGUAUUAUCUCCAACACAUGGCCAAUAAAGAAAGUCUUUCUAUGCUAUUACCUUUCUAUGUCUCCCUUGUGUGAAUUCAAUUAUGUCCUUUGAUUUGGUGGAUUUCAUUUCUUGGUUUGUGACUAUGGUUUCUAUAGUUAUCUUUUUUUGGUAGGUAUUUCUUUUUCAGAAUUUGAGGGAGGGGAGUGGAACCUCAAAUCAUGUGCAAAAUGAGAAGGAGAAAUUUGAAGAGGUUGUGAGACUGCCAAUUCGCAAAAUUAGACAACGAAGAAUGAAAAUUGCUGAACUAGAACAAGUUAGCUCAAGACCUGAUGUUGUUGAGAAAAAGGAUUACUGAAAGUUUGGGUCAAAGCUAUAUUUUGGAGAGUUGAGUAGAGAAAUUGAAGUUUUGCAGAAGGCAGAAACUAUGAGCUGGAGAUAAGCUUAAUCUGAUUCAGAAGGUUAUAGUAAGUUCUCUAUUAAACUUGAAUUUGAUUAGAUAGAGAAGGAUUUGUUAGUUGGUUAUGGUGUAAUUUUAAGAAAUGUUGGUUAAAAUUUGUAUAGACCUACUGUCAGAAAAACGGUCAUAAAUACUUGUGCUGGCAUCAUUUUUGAGUGAAAAUUGAACCAUUGGAAAAUAGACAAAAUUUAACACGAAAUAGGCUCUGGAAGAACUUAAUUUUGUUAUUCUAUGACUGAGAAAAUUGAGUUAGAAGUUUGAACUGCCGAAGUAAAAAUCUGAACUGUUGUUGUUGGAAUGUUCUGUCAUAUCUCUCUGUUCAUGCACCAGUUUGAAAUGUGACUUAUACCAUUAGAAAGAAGACAGAAAUUAACUUGAAAUAGGCUUUGGAAUUGCUUAAUUCAAUUAUGUUAUGAUGGAGAAAACUGAGUUACAAGUUUCAGUUGUUGAAUAAAAAAUCUGCUCUAAUGUGGUUGGAAUGUUCAUGUUAAAAUAUUCGGUUCACCGCCUGGAUUGAAAUUACAAGGACUGAAGCAUAUGUCUGAAGCUAUGGUUUUAAGAGCAAGAGAGGAGAAGAGGGCUGAAGGGAUAGCAAUGGCAACAGCUUUGAAUUGGAGCAUAAUCUAUUGAGAGUGUUUAGAGUAAGUCAUGGACUUUUCAUGACUGUGAUUUUUAUGAUAUUGAAAUUGCCUUGGAGCUGAUUAUGGCGAAAUUCACAAUGUCGUUGAAGCGCAAGAAGUAACUGAAACCAAAGCAUUAUAAAGAGAGGCCACAGUUAGUAUGACCAGCUAUGCGAGUUCAGAUGCAGCUGUUCCACUUGCAACCAUGGGACAAUUUUCAAUGUAACAGUGCAGUGCCUUACACCAAGAAAAAAACCCAGGGAUCAAGAAUCAAGGGAAACAAAUCUCAUUUAAAGGCUAUGAGUGAAAAUAAUCACGAAAUUACUGUCAAGUCAGAUAGGUCUGAUUGUUCAUGUGUACAGAGUGUUGAAUCUUUGGUGAUGUGGACUCUACCUUAUGACCUGAAGAAGUUGAAACCAUGGCUGCGAGAUUAUAUGAGCGGGUUGUGUUAUGAGGGCUACUUACAUAUCCAGCACAUCAUGGAAGAAGAACAUGAGCACAUUAGUAAAAGAAUUCUCUGGCGGCCAAAAAUGGUAUCACCGAUGGAUCUAGAUGAACUAAGA
Medicago truncatula (barrel medic) is the source of this 2226-nucleotide RNA transcript. RefSeq lists it as uncharacterized. The record is from RefSeq and is a predicted model, not a curated record. Lineage: Eukaryota; Viridiplantae; Streptophyta; Magnoliopsida; Fabales; Fabaceae. The transcript is spliced from 9 exons.